RNAcentral lists this ribosomal RNA (433 nucleotides) under uncultured bacterium. Its description in RNAcentral is "partial 16S ribosomal RNA". It matches the Rfam family "Bacterial small subunit ribosomal RNA", at positions 29 to 507 of the family's 1533-position model. The record is from RNAcentral.
AACGAACGCUGGCGGCAUGCCUAACACAUGCAAGUCGAACGAUCCCUUCGGGGAUAGUGGCGCACGGGUGCGUAACGCGUGGGAACCUGCCCUUAGGUUCGGAAUAACUCAGAGAAAUUUGAGCUAAUACCGGAUAAUGUCUUCGGACCAAAGAUUUAUCGCCUUUGGAUGGGCCCGCGUUGGAUUAGCUAGUUGGUGGGGUAAAGGCCUACCAAGGCGACGAUCCAUAGCUGGUCUGAGAGGAUGAUCAGCCACACUGGGACUGAGACACGGCCCAGACUCCUACGGGAGGCAGCAGUGGGGAAUAUUGGACAAUGGGCGAAAGCCUGAUCCAGCAAUGCCGCGUGAGUGAUGAAGGCCUUAGGGUUGUAAAGCUCUUUUACCCGGGAUGAUAAUGACAGUACCGGGAGAAUAAGCCUCGGCUAACUCCGUG